Molecule: ribosomal RNA, 253 nt
Filed under: uncultured bacterium
Lineage: Bacteria
Description: partial 16S ribosomal RNA
Rfam family: Bacterial small subunit ribosomal RNA
Source: RNAcentral
UACGGGGGGGGCAAGCGUUGUUCGGAAUUACUGGGCGUAAAGGGCUCGUAGGCGGCCAACUAAGUCAGACGUGAAAUCCCCGGGCUCAACCCGGGAACUGCGUCCGAGACUGGGAGGCUAGAAUCCGGGAGAGGAUGGUGGAAUUCCCAGUGUAGAGGUGAAAUUCGUAGAUAUUGGGAAGAACACCGAUGGCGAAGGCAGCCAUCUGGACCGACACUGACGCUGAGGCGCGAAAGCGUGGGGAGCAAACAGG